AGACAAUCAUAUAAAUGUAGCAAAGGUACUCACCAUCCCAGCAAACAUGCAACCAAGGCUCCACAUGUCCAAGGAAUAGUCAUAGUCCAGUAAAUCCACUAAAAGUUCGUGUUCCUUGAAGUACCUGAUUGAAGAGAUAACAUUUCAUCGAGAACUUGGAGACCACACGGACGUUAUACUCUUUUCCAGGAUGAUAAAACUCAGCGAGACCCCAAUCUAUCAGGCAAAGUUUGCGCAGCUCAUGGUCGAUCGUGAUAUUGUGUGGCUUCACAUCUCUGUGCAUUAUACCUUGCGAGUGGCAGUAGUCCAAUGCCUGUAUCAUAUCACAAGAAAGUUUCAAGGUUACUACUAACCUUUAUAUGUUGUAAGUCACUGAAUGGUAAAGGGAUUACACAAAAACUACCUUCAACAGCU
Brassica napus (rape) is the source of this 414-nucleotide long non-coding RNA. RefSeq lists it as uncharacterized. The record is from RefSeq and is a predicted model, not a curated record. Lineage: Eukaryota; Viridiplantae; Streptophyta; Magnoliopsida; Brassicales; Brassicaceae. The transcript has 2 exons.